AAGCGGCUCAAUACUAACAAUGCCGACGACCAGCAUGGAGACCAGAGGCUGUUGUGGUGGUGGUGGAGGAGUCGUGGGGUCGGCAGGCGGUGGUGAGAACUAUAAUGACCGUCACAAAACCCCUGUCUCCCCCCUUGUCCAUAUCAGGGGCCUGAUUGAUGGUGUGGUGGAAGCUGACCUUGUGGAGGCCUUCCGGGAGUUUGGACCCAUCAGCUAUGUGGUGGUAAUGCCUAAAAACAGACAAACUCUGGUGGAGUUCAAUGAUAUGUGGGGGCUUGUAGCGCCAUGAACUACGCAGCCGACACCCAAAUCUACAUUGCUGGUCACCCAGAUUUGGUCAAUUACUCUACCAGCCAGAGAUCUCUCACCCUGGGGACUCGGAUGACUCCUGGAGCAUCAAUAAUGUACUUCUCUUUACCAUACUGAAUCCUAUCUAUUCUAUUCCCACGGAUGUUCUUUACACUACCUGUAAUCCCUGUGGCCCUGUCCAGAUAAUUGUCAUUUUCUGAAAGAAUGAAGUGCAGACCAUGGUAGAAUUUGACUGUGUUCAAAGUGCCCAGUGGGCCAAGGCCUCACUCAGUGGGGUUGACAUUUAUUCUGGCUGUUGCACUCUGAAGAUUGAAUAUGUGAAACCUACAUGCUUGAAUGUGUUCAAGAAUGAUCAGGAUACUUGGGAUUAUACAAACCCCAACCUCAGUGGACA
RNA transcript from Propithecus coquereli (Coquerel's sifaka), 703 nucleotides. It is a transcript of the gene named heterogeneous nuclear ribonucleoprotein L pseudogene, with no coding region annotated. NCBI's taxonomy places the organism in Eukaryota, Metazoa, Chordata, Mammalia, Primates, Indriidae. The transcript has a single exon. The record is from RefSeq and is a predicted model, not a curated record.